Molecule: long non-coding RNA, 219 nt
Filed under: Elaeis guineensis (African oil palm)
Lineage: Eukaryota; Viridiplantae; Streptophyta; Magnoliopsida; Arecales; Arecaceae
Description: long non-coding RNA (EGUI_LNC041318)
Source: RNAcentral
GUGCGGCAAUGUCUAAAUCGAUAGGAUCAGAUAUAAUCAACCUGAUUUUUGACUCUUUCGGACCUGAUCCAUCCAAUCAAAAUAUCUAUCUGCUAUGUCAUCUACAUCAUUAUGUACCUUGAAAGCUCAUGCAGCUACAUGGUGUCACAAACAGGAAUAAGUACUUCAUACAUCGGGUUAGAUGUUGUUUAAGUUUUUAGCUCAGCAUUUGUGGAUCCA